Molecule: unclassified non-coding RNA, 638 nt
Filed under: Hevea brasiliensis (rubber tree)
Lineage: Eukaryota; Viridiplantae; Streptophyta; Magnoliopsida; Malpighiales; Euphorbiaceae
Source: RNAcentral
AGCGGAUGAUUCAGCAAGUUCCACACCAGCUCUGCCGUUGCUACUAAAAUGAAAUCAAGAACUAAUGGGGUCCCUAGAGGUCAGAAGGCAAAAGAUUUUCAGGUUGAGGGACCAAAUUGGAUUCUGAUUGCAGGUGGUGCCUUGUUAAGUACUUUAUCAAUUCGCCUUGGUUACAAGCUGAAGCAGACACUGGAUUCAAAGCAACAGACAAAUGCUAGUAAUAGUCUGAAAGGGAAUGGGAAAUCAUCUGACAGAAGGAGGGUAGGAGGCUGCCAUAUGCGUUCAAACGUGUAUUCCUUUGCACAAGAUGAUGAUGGUUGCUUCCACUGCAUGUCAGGGAAUGAAGGCAUGGCAGAUUUUAAGCACCGGCCCAGUCAUCAGACGCUGUCUGAAUCUGAUGUUGCUCUUCCUUUGGUGACUGUUCCUGGCCCAGAAUUUACCAAGGAGAAUGGUGUUAUGUGGGUAUCCUCUCCUGAUCGUCUUGAGUUGCCUCCAAAGCCGUUUUACCAUUCAAAUUGCUCUGACUCACCAUGUGUCUCAGAAUCUGGUUCUGACAUCUACAACAAGCGAGAAGUAAUACAGAAGUUAAGGCAGCAGUUGAAGAGAAGGGAUGACAUGAUAAUGGAGAUGCAGGAUCA